Molecule: non-coding RNA, 3038 nt
Organism: Paramormyrops kingsleyae
Lineage: Eukaryota; Metazoa; Chordata; Actinopteri; Osteoglossiformes; Mormyridae
Source: RefSeq, a predicted model, not a curated record
AUUUCAGCGUUGCUUGAAAUUAUGAGAUGCUUCAUUCAAAGAAUCUCAUUUCAUUGAUUGGCGAACAAGUGUAUCAGAUUUUGUUUUUUUACGUGAAAUAGACGCGUCAGUUGUUUUUGUGAAGCUGAAACGAGCGGUAUUGUACGUAUGUCUACAAGUAUGUUUUGCAAAUAUGUUUAACUGGAUAGCGGCAUUUUAGCUAUAAGACGAACUUUGAACACCCAGCGGUCACUGCAUUGUUUCGCACUUGAGGAGGGCUUUCCUUGAUUUGAACCUUCAGUUUAAAUGAUAAUGCCAUGUCCAAUAAUAUUGAAUAUAGAAACAUUUUCCCUACUUUAUACCGGAGUAUACAAUGCAGGAGGUAUACAUUGUAACUGGUGUUAAAAAAACAAGAAUUCAAGUCCACAGUAAAUUCACAUUUGUUACCAGACUAAAUGUAUAUAUUACCCGAAAUGAAAACUAUUCUGUGUACCCACAGAAUAUUAGUUGCAAGAUUACAAUCUUAUAAAUUCCGUCUACGCAGAUGUAAACCUAAAAGUUUAAGUGGAUGAAAGUAUUAAUAUAUUUCAAUGCCUGCAGUAAAUGCUUAAUGCAUUAAGUAACUGAAUCACUAACCAUAAAUUACCCAUGUUCCAUUUAUACAUACACCUACAUUUUCGGAUAUAUAUUGUUCGUAAUUUAGGUACGUUGUUACAGCUAGUAAUUUGAACAUAUUAAGAGUUUCAGAUAUAUAAUAUAGAUAUAAUUCCUGUGGCUAAUACGUACUGGCAAAUAAGUAAUUCAGAUGAAAACAAGAGAAAUUAAGAAAGAAUUUCCGAAUUUUUUCCACAGCAUGACUGAAAACGUAAAACAAACCUACUCUAUGCUCCCGCUUACUGGUGAAGAGUGGUCAAUACAGGCCUGUUAAGCUGCUUAACGACAAAAAGCUGUGAAAUGGUACUGUUGUGCUCUGGGUGUUGCUUCGGUACUUGACGUUUUUAUCUGUCUCUAUUGCCCAGUUUAAAACUUACGCGCUGAGAAAUUGUGACUUCACUGUCAUUGACCACGACGGGCUCUAGGUAUAAAAGUAGGAAAAACCAAAAGUAGUGACAAAUUCUGACAAUGAGAUGUGCGAAUGUUGGCGGGGCCACUGACGUCACGCCUGUGCGGGGAGCGGCUUCCCUUAGCAGUUGCAAUAAGGCGCCUGCGUGAGGAAAGCACGGUGCGGUAGUGGGAACUCGGGUCAUUCGGGUAACGUGCUGUCACCGUGACAUGCGGGAAACCGUAGCCCUGUGGGCGAAGGUGCGUGGCAACUUGGUAAUUUUACGCGCGGCGGAGGGACUAUUUGACAAGCGGAGGGAUCGUGCGGGCUCCCCGGGGGGUGAAGCGGCUGCAAAGCCAUGUGCUUCUUUGUUUACAAAAACAGCGGCCAGUCGAGAACUGAGGUGACGCGCUUCUUGAUUUUAUUUCGUAUUUUAGGGUAAAUUCGCAUAGAGUCGCAACCGCGCUAAAUGCGAAACUCAACGUGGCUGGCCUAUAGUCCAAUUUAGACGAAAGGAUUUGGAUUUAUUAUCCUCCACCACAUCACAACUACCACCAAAGGGGAGCGAGAGAAACUGAUUGCCAUGAGGCGAAUGGAUCAAUUCUAUACACCGGCCUAGAGGGAUCUGUCGGGGAACCAGACUUGGUCGUAAGUAGACGUUUGGAUGGGACGAGAAGUACACGUUCAAGGCCUGAAGAUUGAAGGAAAGCGAGCUACCCCUGCGAUGGAUCCCAACAGUGGGUGAAAAUGCGUCCAACAAAGAGAUGGAGUGCACGGGGGCAUUGUAUAGAAGCUGCCUCACAGAUCCCCGCUGUUGCCUUCCACAGGCAGGAACGUCGAUGUCCCUGAACAUGGCCAACCCCACAUGGAGCGGAAUGUCCUGACCUGCUGACCCAGGACCAGCCGGUGCUGUGUUCACGUUCAAGUGAGGUGACCGAGGCUCAACCAAUAACAAUGAUUAGCUGGUGUUGAGAGGCGGAGACUUGGGCAUUUGCCAGCAAUCCCAGAGGGCAUUGCACUUGUCUCGGUCUGACAGUGCCGGCACACUGCACAGCUCCUUGGGGUUGUGGGAGGUCGUCGUCUUUUGAAAUGGUUGUGGAACCUAAACCCUCUCCUGUAGGAGAAAUCAGAUACUAGGUGAAAGAAGUAAAUGUAAUUGAUAACCUGUUGAUGAGUUUUGUCAGAUUGUCCUUUUAAUUCUUCCCUUUACUUCCUUAGGGCCCAGAAGCUGGUCAGUGUUGACAUCUGUCCAAUAGGAGCAGGCGAUACUGGUCCUGCAAUUUCACCUGCUCAGUUUCUCAGCAGUCCUGGACUGGAUAAAUAGGGAAUGUCAGCCAGGUUGAGGGGGGAAUUGCUGAAAUUGUAAUGCCUUCUCUCCUAGGAGGUGGGAUUUGUUAUGAACAUGAGUGUGGCUCUUAAAACAGAGAACAAGUGUUACAAGGGGUGGGCAGCAGUGAAACUCAAAGCUUGUGGUUCUUUUUAUUUGUAUUCUGUAGAUUUAACACACUACAUGGCUUAAAGGUACACUUCAGAAAGUAAAAGUGGGUGAAAUAAUGCUAAUUUCGGUUGAUUUAAAUUUUUAUGAUGUCCAUGUCAUUAUCACAAUAUCAGAUAGCCUUGGCUGUGUAUGACUGUGCUGUGAUUAUGUGUCUCUUGUAGUAUAUGUGCACCACCAUCCCCAUUAAUGAUGAAGCACCAUAUGUGAUGCUGUUUUCUGAAAGUAACUAUAUAUAUCCAUAAUGCAAAGAUGAAAAUUCGGUGUGUUAAAAGUGAAACCACGGUCAAGAGAGAACUGAUGGUGCUGCACUCCGAACAUUGACGCAUUGCCCUCUACCACUCAACCUACAUCUAACGCUCCAGCUAAAUUUAAACUUGAUAGUAAGUCUGAUUAUUUCAUAGCACGUAACCAAUUUUAUGUGUUCCACAGUUUGAGCUUUUCUUUCUGGAAUAGUUAUUCCACAUGUCAAAGCAGUAUAAUCUGUACGGUACCUCUGAAUAAAAUUAUCAUCACUGGAUA